GGAAGACACUGCAAAAAUGUGCCAAGAAAUGAAAGCAAAAUGGAAGGGGAAAAAACGGCAACGUCGGGAACGUGUACAUAGAAUAUGCUGACACUGUGCCUGGCAACAGCACUUUUGCAAGAUAAGGAAAUCUUGGUCAUACGUUCCUAGUUCUAAUAGCAAGUGAUACUAAUUUGCAUUAAGAAUGAAAAAGUAAAGCGACAAAAUGGCCGGCCGUAUGAGAAGACGCCAUAUGAAAUACAGUGCAGCCACCCAUAAAGUAGAAAGCACUACUAGACAGGCCUGAACGCUGUAGUGUUUCCUACUUUAUGGACGAGUGUACUGGGCUCUACAAGACAUCACCGCCUGAAGAAUCCUAGCUCUGCAGCAAGAAGAUGCCUGUAUGAGGAAUUAAUUUGCAUGUCUGACAAAAAUGAAUAUUUUCUUACUCUGCUCUGUAAUUAAUAAACUUCAUUGUCAUUUGA
Molecule: long non-coding RNA, 464 nt
Organism: Bombina bombina (fire-bellied toad)
Lineage: Eukaryota; Metazoa; Chordata; Amphibia; Anura; Bombinatoridae
Exons: 3
Source: RefSeq, a predicted model, not a curated record